This 430-nucleotide ribosomal RNA is filed under the name bacterium. Its description in RNAcentral is "partial 16S ribosomal RNA". It matches the Rfam family "Bacterial small subunit ribosomal RNA", at positions 355 to 776 of the family's 1533-position model. The record is from RNAcentral.
UGGGGAAUUGUUCGCAAUGGGCGCAAGCCUGACGACGCAACGCCGCGUGGAGGAUGAAGACCUUCGGGUCGUAAACUCCUUUCGAUCGAGACGAAUGGCCUCCGGGUGAAUAAUCCGGAGGAGUGACGGUACCGAGAGAAGAAGCCCCGGCUAACUCCGUGCCAGCAGCCGCGGUAAUACGGGGGGGGCAAGCGUUGUUCGGAAUUACUGGGCGUAAAGGGCUCGUAGGUGGCCAACUAAGUCAGACGUGAAAUCCCUCGGCUUAACCGGGGAACUGCAUCUGAUACUGGAUGGCUUGAGUUUGGGAGAGGGACGCAGAAUUCCAGGUGUAGCGGUGAAAUGCGUAGAUAUCUGGAGGAACACCGGUGGCGAAGGCGGCGUCCUGGACCAAUACUGACACUGAUGAGCGACAGCCAGGGGAGCAAACGGG